AGUGAACGCUGGCGGUAGGCCUAACACAUGCAAGUCGAACGGCAGCACAGUAAGAGCUUGCUCUUACGGGUGGCGAGUGGCGGACGGGUGAGGAAUACAUCGGAAUCUACUUUUUCGUGGGUGAUAACGUAGGGAAACUUACGCUAAUACCGCAUACGACCUACGGGUGAAAGCAGGGGAUCUUCGGACCUUGCGCGAUUGAAUGAGCCGAUGUCGGAUUAGCUAGUUGGCGGGGUAAAGGCCCACCAAGGCGACGAUCCGUAGCUGGUCUGAGAGGAUGAUCAGCCACACUGGAACUGAGACACGGUCCAGACUCCUACGGGAGGCAGCAGUGGGGAAUAUUGGACAAUGGGCGCAAGCCUGAUCCAGCCAUACCGCGUGAGUGAAGAAGGCCUUCGGGUUGUAAAGCCCUUUUGUUGGGAAAGAAAAGCAGCAGGUUAAUACCCCGCUGUUCUGACGGUACCCAAAGAAUAAGCACCGGCUAACUUCGUG
This 492-nucleotide ribosomal RNA is filed under the name uncultured bacterium. RNAcentral's name for it is "partial 16S ribosomal RNA". It matches the Rfam family "Bacterial small subunit ribosomal RNA", at positions 29 to 507 of the family's 1533-position model. The record is from RNAcentral.